Molecule: ribosomal RNA, 325 nt
Filed under: uncultured bacterium
Lineage: Bacteria
Description: bacterial SSU rRNA
Rfam family: Bacterial small subunit ribosomal RNA
Source: RNAcentral
GAUGAACGCUGGCGGCGUGCUUAACACAUGCAAGUCGAACGAAGCACUUAAGAUUGAUUCUUCGGAUGAAGUCUUUUGUGACUGAGUGGCGGACGGGUGAGUAACGCGUGGGUAACCUGCCUCAUACAGGGGGAUAACAGUUAGAAAUGACUGCUAAUACCGCAUAAGCGCACAGGACCGCAUGGUCUGGUGUGAAAAACUCCGGUGGUAUGAGAUGGACCCGCGUCUGAUUAGCUAAGUUGGUGAGGUAACGGCCACCAAGGCGACGAUCAGUAGCCGACCUGAGAGGGUGAUCGGCCACAUUGGGACUGAGACACGGCCCAAA